GAUGAAGAACGCAGCGAAAUGCGAUAAGUAAUGUGAAUUGCAGAAUUCAGUGAAUCAUUGAAUCUUUGAACGCACAUUGCGCCCGCCAGUAUUCUGGCGGGCAUGCCUGUUCGAGCGUCAUUACAACCCUCAGGCCCCCGGGCCUGGCGUUGGGGAUCGGCGGAGCCCCCCGUGGGCACACGCCGUCCCCCAAAUACAGUGGCGGUCCCGCCGCAGCUUCCAUCGCGUAGUAGCUAACACCUCGCGACUGGAGAGCGGCGCGGCCACGCCGUAAAACACCCAACUCUUCUGAAGUUGACCUCGAAUCAGGUAGGAAUACCCGCUGAACUUAAGCAUAUCAAUAAGCGGAGGA
This 352-nucleotide unclassified non-coding RNA is filed under the name soil metagenome. RNAcentral describes it as "partial contains 5.8S ribosomal RNA, internal transcribed spacer 2, and large subunit ribosomal RNA". The stretch from base 1 to 120 matches the Rfam family "5.8S ribosomal RNA", at positions 35 to 154 of the family's 154-position model. The record is from RNAcentral.